This 444-nucleotide unclassified non-coding RNA is filed under the name uncultured Agaricostilbales. RNAcentral's name for it is "sequence contains ITS2". The stretch from base 1 to 155 matches the Rfam family "5.8S ribosomal RNA". Lineage: Eukaryota; Fungi; Basidiomycota; Agaricostilbomycetes. The record is from RNAcentral.
AACUUUUAACAACGGAUCUCUUGGCUCUCGCAUCGAUGAAGAACGCAGCAAAGCGCGAAAUGUAAUGUGAAUUGCAGAAUUCAGUGAAUCAUCGAAUCUUUGAACGCACCUUGCGCUCUUGGGUUAUUCCUGAGAGCAUGCUUGUUUGAGUGUCGCGUACCUUCUCAACCCCGCCUUUCAUAGCUCUCGAGCUAAAGGUCGUUAGGGUUGGAUCAUGACGCUUUGUCUGUUCGUAAUGGCAGACUGCGUUGAAAUACAACAAGCUGAAUCUUUUACUCGGCGGCUUGACCUGUUGUCAUAGAGUUUAAUACUUUCAACGGGGACGCUUGUAGGAAUGAGCUUACCAUAAACUGAAUCGUCUCUUUAUCGAGCGAUUCUUAUGACUUUGACCUCAAAUCAAGUAGGACUACCCGCUGAACUUAAGCAUAUCAAUAAGCGGAGGCU